GGAGGAGCAUGUGGUUUAAUUCGAUGAUACGCGAGGAACCCUUUACCGUGGGCUUGAAAGUUAGUGACAUUCUGUGAAAGCAGAACUUCCGCAAGGACACGAAACUAGGUGCUGCAUGGCUGUCGUCAGCUCGUGCCGUGAGGUGUUGGGUUAAGUCCCGUAACGAGCGCAACCCCUAUCAUUAGUUGCCAUCAGGUCAUGCUGGGGACUCUAAUGAGACUGCCCGCGCAAGCGGUGAGGAAGGUGGGGACGACGUCAAGUCAUCACGGCCCUUACGUCCAGGGCUACACACGUGCUACAAUGGUAGAUACAGCAGGUUGCCACAUGGUAACAUGGAGCUAAUCCCAAAAGUCUAUCUCAGUUCGGAUUGAGGUCUGCAACUCGACCUCAUGAAGCUGGAUUCGCUAGUAAUCGAAAAUCAGCAAUGUUUCGGUGAAUACGUUCCCGGGCCUU
This 453-nucleotide ribosomal RNA is filed under the name uncultured Sphingobacteriales bacterium. RNAcentral's name for it is "bacterial SSU rRNA". It matches the Rfam family "Bacterial small subunit ribosomal RNA", at positions 931 to 1382 of the family's 1533-position model. Lineage: Bacteria; Pseudomonadati; Bacteroidota; Sphingobacteriia; Sphingobacteriales. The record is from RNAcentral.